CUCUCCUACUCGACAACAAUGCUCAUUUUAGGGGGGCAGAGUAGACAGGAAGAGAGCAACCUUGUACCACUACGUUCAUCUACUUCAACUACAACUCCCUUUAUUUCUGCAGUGUCUGAGAUGCCUCAAAAUGAAGAUGGGAAUGUCCCAAUUGCAGCCAAGGAAAAGGGGUUGAAGACAUAUUAGAAGGAAGUUAAAAGUUUGAAAAAAGAGUUGCCCAUUGUUUUUUAAAAGGUAUGCGGAUACCGUCUACAAAGGAUCUGUGGUAAGCUAAAAAACAAGUUUGAAACCUUGCUUCUUUAAAAGGUGUGUGGAUACUAUAUUUCUCUAGACUUCGGGGUUAUGAUACUCAUCUAGAAGAGUAAGGAAUUUGCCGAACGUGAAUUUCAAUUCAAUUGUCCCUUUACCAACUACAUGUAAAGGACAAUAUCCUCCUCCACCAUUUUGUAAGUCCCAAACAUGUUUCUAAUAUUAGAGACAUGUCUGAUGGGUCCUGAGUCUAUCCACCAUUCUACAGUGCUGUCUUUUGAAGUCUGUAGAAAUCUUUCUUCGGCCAUAUUGGCUGGAGCCAGUUGCUUCUUUUGAAGUCUGUAGAAUUUCUACACAUGACCGGCUUUGUUGCAAAAAUAGCAUAUCAUGGUUACCUUUCCUUGUCCUGAGCAACCUUUGGUUUGGAGCUUUGUUCCCUUUCUUUUCUUCUUUCUUCUCUUCAAUCUUGAUUCCUUUUUCAAUCUUUGGCUUUUUCUUUUUCGAACCUUUUGAGUACAUAUGCUCUUGCGACCACCUGGGACUUAUGCUUUUUCAUAUCUUGGGGUCCGGUUUCCUCUUCAAUUCUCAAGUGAGUAAUUAGUUGUUCCAAGCUCAAAUCCUUUGCAUUAUGCAUUAUCGUAUUUCUAAAGUCCUUCCAUGAGGGCGGUAAUUUAUUUAUUUUCGAGCCCACAUGGAAGCACUCAUCAAAUUUAAU
This 964-nucleotide long non-coding RNA is filed under the name Amborella trichopoda. RNAcentral's name for it is "long non-coding RNA (ATRI_LNC005169)". The record is from RNAcentral. Lineage: Eukaryota; Viridiplantae; Streptophyta; Magnoliopsida; Amborellales; Amborellaceae.